This is a long non-coding RNA of Gallus gallus (chicken), 9646 nucleotides long. RefSeq lists it as uncharacterized. The record is from RefSeq and is a predicted model, not a curated record. The transcript is spliced from 3 exons. Lineage: Eukaryota; Metazoa; Chordata; Aves; Galliformes; Phasianidae.
GUCCUGCAAAUGGCCUCCGCUGUUGGCUGCUGCGGCGGGUUGAGCUGAGCGGCCCUACGCCUCGCAGGCCCUGCGUGGGGCCUCACACAGCGCCCGCUGAGCCUGGAGGGGCGAGGUGAUAAAAUCUCCUGUUGCAGCAGUCCCAAACUCUGACGGGCAGUGCUCAUAGACAGGCCGCUGCCAGGCAAUGCGGCGCUGGUACUGCACAUGGGAUGAGGCUUCAGGGGAGACCUAACGCUACACGAGCCAGCUGCUGUCCUAGCAUCCUCAUAGGAUGGCUUAGCUUGGAAGGGAUCUGGAAACCCACCAAGUUCUGACCGCCAGCUGUGGGCAGGUUUGCUGCCCGCUGGAUCAUUGCCCAGAGCCCCAUAAAGCCUGGCCUUGAACACAUCCAGGGACGGGGCACCCACUGCUUCUCUGGGCAGCCGUGCCAGGGCCUUACCACCAUCACAGUGAAAAUCUUCCCCUGACAACUAAUAGAACUCUAAUAGUUUAAAACAGUUCCCCCUUUUCCUAUCACUAUCAGACCAUGUAAAAAGUCGGUCUCCCCUGUGCUUAUAAGCUGCCUUUAUAUAAUGGAAGGCCACAGUGAAGUCUUCCCUGUGCCUUCUCCAGGCUGAACAAGCCCAGCUCCCUCAGUCUGUCUUUGUAGGUGCUCCAGCCCUCCCGUUGCCCCUGUGUCCUCCCCUGGACCGCGUCCAUCACUGGAGGACGACUUAGAAGCCUCCAGCUGCAGGCUGGGGCACUGCUGGACCUUGAGCUGGACACAGCCUGUCUGCAGUGCUAGCUCACAGAGCAGCCAUUUUAGUCCUGUAGUCACAGGCAGAGCAGCUGUGCUCUCUCCAGGUUUGGCCUAGAUGAGGAUAAACCAAUACAUAAAGCUUGCCAUGCUUAAGAGCUGCUUUAUCUUAAAACUACACCAAACCGAACUGCAUGUAGUUACUAGUAGAAGCAGCAGCAGCAGGUGAGCUUUCUGUCCUCAGCCUUGCCACCCUGAUUCCAGUUUCACUGCUGUCUUUGUUGUGCUGAGUUAGUCCUCCACCAAUCUGGUGGUGUGAAUCAGUUUGCUGUGAGAACUUCAGCAGGGGAAUUUAGCAUGAGCACAGGGCUACAGGCUGGAAAUCCAGGCUACAGGCAAGAUCUCCCUGACCGUGGCCAGUAAUAUACGUGCUUGUUAGCAGAGCUAACUGAACUGAAGCCACACGCUGCAUAUGGGGCAAGUUUUGAAUGGGCAGCAACAUUCAAGUCACAAGACUUCUGUUUGGAAAUGAGAGCAAGCCUUUAUUUUGUGUCAUGGCAAGACAACACAGGGGAGAGGAGGAAAGGAAGCCUGGGAAUCUCACCCCAGCCUUAUUUAUUUUAUUGAUUAGUGGCUCUUGCGGGUUUAUGCUGAGUCUUUAUUCUUCCCUCUUCCUCUGUUCUUUCCCUCGUCUCUAAAGUUCUCUUUGUCUCGAAACUCUGGACCUUGUUUUGAAUCCCUGCUCUGCCUUGAGCAGGAAUUAUGUUUGUCAGGGCACCCAAAGGAGGCCAUUUAGCUUUGGCAGAUUUCUGGGUGGAGGCUGAAACUGCUGUUGUUUAAGUUUUCAGAGAGAACCCCUAGAUAAAUGAAUCCAGCUCUUUCAGCUGCUGCCAAUUCCUGGCAGAAAGGUUACAUAAACAUACUCUAAACCUCAAGGGUAUUAUAAAUAAAUCUUAUAAAAUAUUAAAUUUUGUUAAUCUCUGAAUGAACCAAAACGGUGCUAAACUGAUUUAAAGCCUUUGUAAGAAAAGAAUUAACCAGGUGUCUUAUAAAAGUCCUGACCUCUUUCUCAGCGCGCUGACAUUUGUUUCUGGCCAUUCUGUACCUUCACCACUCUCAUUAAAUUGCUUUUUUUUCUUUCUUUCUUUAAACAAAAACUUCACAUAUCAUGAAUAGUUAUCAAAAAGCUUCUUCAAGUCUGUAUUGAUUGUAGCACUAGCAGAACUGCUAGUGGCAACAGAGGCUCGCUUAGGUAGAGAUCAUUUGGUUAUUGCUUUAAUAUGGGACUUCUGGGGAAAAAAAAAUGUCAGAAAAUACUGAUCAGUUACAACCAACAACUGUUACAGAUAUCCAGAUAGUACUUGUCAGCAUAUAAAUGAGAAAGAGAGACCCUGAGCUAUCCCAUGAUAGCCAAGCAGAGCCUGACAUAUGAGAGGCCUACUUGUUUUCGGGUGCUCGUGCCUGAAAAGUCAUCAUACAGAAGAGGAAGGGAGAAGAAACCCACCUCAGGAUAUCCAACAGGAUGGAGGCUCAGGUACUGACUGGAAGAUGCACCAGUAUUGCUAACCUGUAACGAUGAGAGAAGAAAUAAGAAUGGGGAUCUGCACUUGUAUGGGCAAAGAUAUAUUCCUGCCCUCUCUCAUUUUCCUCUGCUGAAUAAUCCUGGAUUCAUUCCAGUAUGAGAGUUAAGGAAAAAAUCUUUGUGGAGUAGCCGUAGUAUUUCCUGUCCAGUUGCAUGCCACGGUGAACAGGCACAUGGCACUUAUUUUUACCUGAACUACAAAAAAUACUCAGCCAAAAAUCUUUGUUUAAAGGGAGUACACUAACAAAACAUGACUAACUGCAGUCGUUCCAUUCCUGGCCACGGAAUAAUACAUUCAUGCAUGUGGUAACAAGCAGUGAGCUACUUCAAAACACACUUAUCCCAUUUUAGGUGGUUUAAAUAAUGAAGUCUUUAAUUGCAAAGGUAGGUAGAAAGUUCCAAAAUGACGUUGCAGUGAAGGGGUUUCAUCUUUGUUGCUGCUGCAUAUGUUUAUUUUUUGUGGUUUUGUCUGUAGAUAAAUGUGCUUACAAACUUUCAUUUCUUUCUCAUUACUGUUUUGCACUCCCCAGUUUCAAUCACAGGUGAAAACUGCAAGAGGUGCUACACUAAUGACCGUGGAGAACAAAGGUCUCUAAUUUAUGAAGCAUGAGGACCACUGUGUGCUUCCCUGGCUGUGUGCUGAAGGACUGAACUGACUGUCCUGAGCGAAAGCAAACAGCUCUUUUUUCCAUGUCCACCGACACCUUUGCCAACCGUGGGCACACUCCGCUGCACUCGGCAGGAAUUGCUGCCCACCUGGUGUUCUCAAACCUCCUGCAGCUUUACCUGAGGUUCGGCUUUACUCCCAUAGGUGGAUCUCUCGAUGAACUUUAAAUAUGCCAUCAAGUACAUUUAUGGAUGUUAACUAGCUUUCAGAUAUUUCUGAUUCAUGCUGCAGAGCUGUGAGUGAAGCAGUGGGUAUUCAGGUCAUGCAACUUCUGUUGCACGAUACCUUUCGAUACCUAUCUUUUCUUAGGAUAGUCUCUUAUCUCUUUUUAGCCAGUGGAGCAAAACAGGACUUUUGCAGAGAGUAACUCAGAAUAAGGACAUAGUAUCAGCACACAGAUCAUUCUAAUUAACCUCAGACUCUCUCCUAAUUGCGGGUUACUAAUCCUCUCUGACCAAGAACCUCUCCACUGCUGUACCACGCUCUCCAAGUACACAGGCAGAAGCAGAACUUGGAGCCAAGUUUUCAAGGGCUUAGCACAUAGCUGCUCGGCUUCCACUUUGAUAUCAAAAUGAGAAGUUCAGAACUGAGAAGGCAGUGCUAUUUAUCUAAGGCAUUCCUUUGAAAACCCAGCUCUCUGUGGGGACAAUGCACUCUCUUCAGAAUUUUGGCUCUGGUUUUUCAGGAGCCACCCUGAAAACUCCAUGUUGUCAUGAGAGAUGACUUAUCUGUCUGCCCUUGCGCAGAAGCGCAGGCCUAUGCAAACACAGCUUGCUUCCAUGUUGUUGCCUGGAGUGAUAUCAGAUGCAAAUACAGGGAGUAUUUGAAUGGAAUUCACAAAGUGUAUGCUUUUAAGAUAAAGCAGAGCCAAGUCCUGCUGCUGCUGCUUUGGAUGCAAAUGUAUUUGUAAUGAACUCUGCUUUUGUACGUGUCCCUUAUCUUGCACCUGUUAUCAUCUUUGUUGUAAAAAGCUUACAGGUAAGCUUGCCAAACGAUACGCCCCAUCUGUGCUACCUGGAUAAACACUGUUAGCAAGAAACAUGCAAACUGAAAAGCCACAAGUUCUUGACGGACAGGUACCCGUGCUGUUUCUCUAGCUAGCAAGGACAAGGUCUCUGUGUUCCUUCAACAGAUUGCCAGCCUUUUCUUGUUUGAAAUUCUUGUGAAGUUGUUGGGAGGGAGAUGAGAAAGAGGAAGCUUGGGAGUGUGCAAGCUGGUUUUUGGCAUGCAGAUGAAGUCAGUUGCAAACAAAACAAAGAUUUCAGUGGAAUCUACAAAGUGAAUGCUUUUUAGCCAGCACUAAGAUAGAGCUGUGUUGGAGGCAGAUGUGUUUGUUGUGAAUGCUACUCUUGUUUAGAUCUUGCAACCUGAACAAGCACUUGGAUGGACGGAAGGUGAAUAAUGGAAAACUGCAUCACCAGGCCUUGCUCCUAAGAAGACUGGAAAGAAAUGACCCAGCAGAUAGGGCAUGGUGAAAGUCCUAAGGCUUUACAGUGAAGAAACAACAGUAGGGGAGAACAGUUUGUUCUGGGAGCUUAUCAUGUUCCACUGAGCUCUCUACAUUGCCCUGUGUUGUUUCAUUUCAGGAACUUGUGAGAGGGAGAACUACUGAGUAACUAAUGCACGAGGCUGGUAGCUUGGGUUCUGAAGGCCUACCACUAAGUUCCUGUGGGCAACAUUUUGUACUCUCAGAUGGUCACAUCGGAGAGAAGCUGACACUGGUCCCUGGACCAAGUCAUUUUUAACUGACUUGCAUACUUAGUGCUCGAAUCCCAAGGCCUUUUGGAUGUACAGCACACAUCACUACUGCGUAUUAGCAGGGACGCGGGGAGUUAUGAGACGGAUCCCAACCAAGGAAACAUCCCUGGGCCUGUUGCCACCUUUGCUACCUGAGGCAAAAAGGAUGAGACCAGCAGCACUUGGUGUGCCUGGGUACAGACCGCUCCCUGCUCUGCCAUUCAUUGGCUGCCUCGUGCUCCCUGCGCAGGCAUGCUGCUGCUUGCUGCUUUUGUGUUAGAGCAAGGUAGAGGGUAGAACUUGGCAUCGUGAGCACCCUGUCCUAGACCUCCAGUCAUAAGGGAGUUCACCGAAUGGCUUUAUCCAAAACAAAAGACACUAACAGGGCAUGUGUUCCUGUUGCUGCCUACCACAUGGGGUCUGUAUGUGUAAGAACUAGGAAGGGCACCUCAGGCUGUCACUGAGGGUAACCCAUAACCUGAUUUCUCUGGCAGAGUCCACGGUGAUGGCAACUUGGCACUUGGAUUCCUUGCAGUAGACACUUCUGUUGUUUAAAAAAAAAAUAGUGGCCUGAGGGGAUCCCUCUCCAUUAUGGUCAAGGAACUUUAACCAGGCUUCAAACUCUUGCAGGGCUGAGCGUGCUGCCUGGCAGCUGAGCAAAACAUUGCAGGUUUGCUGGCAGUGAUACAGCAUCCCAAGCACCCUUGCUUCCUCCAAGGCUCUUGUACAGCUUGUACAAGGACUCGGAGAAAACUUUCCAUUCAGAAUGGGCAUUCCUAGGUGCUGCAGGGCCACCUUCUCACUACUGGGCAGUGUGCCAGUCUCUGGGGAGGAGAUAAUGCUUUGGGACGCUCACAUGUAACAAAGAUCUAGCAGCAACAUGUCCAAAAGCUACAGGUCUGCAAGGACGCAGACUUGCAUUCAUUCCACAUUAACCUUUGGUCUCCAGCUCCCAGUGGCUCAUGAUAUGAAACUGGCCUAUCCUUCCUUAUCCCAGCCCCCCGUGGCACGUACCAGGCUGUCCCCAUUUGAGCAGGCCACGCGGUCAGCAACUUGCAGGAAAAUGCCUCAAACCCCGCUAGUUCCUCACUGAAAAUAUAGUGCCUGCUGAAUGCUACUGAUAGCCACAGUUCUCUUCCUGUCUUACACUGCACAGUCUGUAGACAAGGGCCUUUUAUGGCCAAGCAGGGAAAAGAAGCCCCAGGAGCCUCAGAAAUCUUUGCAGAGGUGAGCAAACAGCACUUCAACUCUGUGUACCUUUUGUGUUUUCAAACAAAAGCCUGAAAAGCCCAAUGGCAAUUAAGUUUUUGUUUAUAUAUACAUACAUGAAUAAUGAAAGCCUUGCCCUGCUGACUGGGCUUCCUGGCAGGAGCUGAGACACCACAAGCAUUCUCAUUUACUCCUAUGCCUUUUCCUUUGCAAAACUGUUUCUCCCCCACGCCAUGACACCUGUGGGUUGGUCCCAGUCUCCUAGGACACCUGCAUCCCAAGGCCACACGUAGCCACUCCAAGCUGUGGGUGCUCAGUCCCUUUGCUGACCCUGUUGCUGGAGUGUGACCUGGGGGAAAGCAGGGCCCAGCUUGGCCCACGGGCUGUUAGUGCAACACAGCUGCCUUCCAAAGUCUAACUCCACAUUGUUCACCUCUCACAACGCAAGCAUAGCCGCACUGUUGGCAGCUCACAUGGCUGCCAAGAGAUAUGUUUCUGCUGCAAGGGGUUGGAAGUGUGAGCACUGAGAGGUGUAAAAGAAUGCAAGGCUGCCAACCCUACUGAAAUAUCCUUGAAGGACAGGACAGUUUUAUAUCCUCCAGACCACACGGGACCAUUGCAGGAUGGAACGGCAGAGUAUAGCAUGGAGGUGCCUGUGUAGGUUCCUGGGACACUGUAGUGUUUGUUCCAUGUAUGCUCCUUUGAAAAGGAUUGUUGGGACGAUACCAGGUUUCCUGGGGUUGGUCCCUGAGGUGCUAAGGGAUGCUGUUGUGCAGAAGAUGCUACAGCUGGCUUUACCAACUUAAUGGCACCUCCAUCCAUGCAUAGAAACAGCACCUUGGGGACUCAAAUGUUUUUCCUGGCAAAAUCUUGGGCGCUUGCAGCUCCUCAGAACAGCAAGCAGGGCCUGACUUCUCAAUUAGCAUCCUCACUGGCGUAGAGAUGGCACGCUUACCUCAACCAGGAUCUGUCCCUCCAAGCUCUGCUUGGCCAAACAUCUGUCAAAUCCAAGCGGGCGAGGGGAGGGAACUCAUCUGGGCAGAAACUGGGAGGGACAUCUGCAGAGAGCUCCGGGACACACACAUGGGAAUCUGCAGUGGUAGGCAGAAACGUUCUCCUCCUAAAGAGCCCCGUACCACCCAACCAUAACUGGCCAAGUACAGCAGUUGCUGGGGAAAGGAUGCCUAGCUACUGCCUGCUUUCUGCUCCCUCCCCCCUCCUUUUUUGUUUUUCUUCUCUGGUGCUAUUGGAUCCUAAAGCAUUUCUAAAACUCCCUUUAGAAACUGACUGUACUCAAAUCCACAAACAGACCAGAGUUCAAUUCUGAGCAUUAUGAAUGGUCACGCUAAUUAAAUGCAGCUAAAAUACUGAAAAGGGAUGCAGAGAAGACAAAAUUAAUGAUAAAACACCCUCAGAGAGCAUAGGAGGAGAAAAAGCGCUGAUGUAAAAAGGCGAUUUAUGGUGAUUCUCCGGUUGCUGAAACAGAUGAAUUAUUGAGAACCUUACAGGAGAAAGGAACUUUAAGUUGGAAGAUUGAUGACUAAAAACCAUGGGGAAGUAAUCCUUUUUGCAUCAGUAUGGCAAAGCUCAGUCCUGGGAGGCAGGUCACCAGAGGUCAAGGCCUAAAGUGGAAACCCUGAGCUGGAGAACUCCUCUGAUCAACUCCUGCCCCCACACUGCCUUCUCUCCACUCCCUCAUUAACAAAAGGAAGCUGCAUUUCGGUGGUGUGAUUUCUCUCAGCUGCACAGUUUGGCUCCUAACCAAAAGCUUCAGCCUGAUGCAAAGAUAAAGAGGUUUCAGACAACGGUUAUUGCAGUUGGAUGGCAUUUCAAGAACUGAUCUCUAUCAGACGCCUAUGCCUUGCAACUUAAACGCAGUCACGCUGUGUUGCUGCGGAGUACAAGAAAAGCCUGAAAUCAGUGCUGACUGGGACUGAACAAUUCGAUUUCCAUUUCCAAGGUGAAGAUGCAAGUGAACAGUGUGGCUCAACAAACACUUCUGAAAAGCCUUGUCUUUUGGAUGAUCGUGGAACAUCCAGAUGAAAAGGGAUCUCAGGAAGCCAUCUCUACCAUCCCACUCUCUAGAGAUACGUUCAUUUUAUCUCUGUCAUUCCUGACUAAAUUUUCUCUGAUCACUUCUUAAAAAGAUUUACAAUCCCCGGGCAAUCUGACUUAAUGCAUCACUGUCCUCAUUUUUAGAAAGCUUCUCAUAAUGUCUAACUGAAGUAUUUACGCUGAAAUUGAAUGUCUUAUUAAUCUCUAAUAUCUUUGUGUUUGAAGACUCAUAUCUUCAUCACAUUUGCCUUCACUGCAGCGAGCACCUCCUUUCUCCAGCCUUCCCUUAAAGCCGUGUUUUUCCAGAGCUCCGAUCACACACAUUGCUCUCCCCUGAGCCUGAUCAGUGUUGUAUCCCUCCUGAGCACGGUGCCCCAAGCCAGACUCGUGGAGCUCCAGCUGAGUUUUGCCAAGACUGUGAAAAGUGGAAGAAUUACUCCACGUACUUUAUAGCCUCCUUUUUAUAGCCUCAUCUCAGUAUGAAGUUUGCUUUUUUUGAAACAGUAUGUAAGCUCCAGAAGGUUUCUGCAGGGCACCUCCCUACUCUUUGCUCCUCGGUCUGCUUUUGCAGUUGAUCAAACAGAAAACCUUGCAUUUUUUACUCUUUAAUAGCGUCUUACUUUUUUUUUCCCCUAACAAUUAGUGUGCAGUGUGUGUUGUGUUCUAACCCGGCAGGUGGCUGAGCUCCACACAGCUGUUUGCUCGUUCCCCUCCUUCCGAGUGGGAAUGGAGAAGAGAACUGGAGGGAAAAAACGUAGAACUCAUGGGUUGAGAUAAAACUAUUUACUAAGAUACAGAAAAGGAAAAGGACAAUAGUUAUGACUCUCUCUCUCUCUCUCUCUAUAUAUAUGAAUGUAUGUAACAAGAAACACAUAAGCAAUUGCACACCACCCGUCAACCAUUGCCCAACUUGCCCUCUGAGCAGCGGAAGAGGGAGGCCUUGGCUCUGUAUAACACUGUGUAGCAGCAACUAUAAACACUGGUGUGUUAUCAGCAUUGUUUUCAUCCUAGAACUAAAACCAGCAUCAUUCCAGACACUCUAAAGAAAACAAUUCCAUCCCAGCUGAAAUUUAGACAAUGUGGCAUUGCUCAUUUGAAUAUUAAACUCAUAUUUCUUCCAAUUUACUUCCAUUUCUUUCAAGCUUUCUCAUACUACUUCGUGUUGGGAUCUAUAAACCUUCAGCUUUGCUCUAAUUGUAGCUCCAGAGCCCAGGUACAACAUGUUCACAUUCAGGCUGCACGUGGCCCCUGUGCUGACCCUGUUCCAGGUGCAGUGGUGUGAUUACAGCUGUCCGACCUGUUGCACCACUGGAGGCUCAGCUCGUCCUGAUAAUAGUGCAGUUAUGUUUACUGUCCUUCCAGCUCUGGCAAUUACAUCUCAUUACACCACUUUAAUUAUUCAAACACUGACAUUAGGGUGAUGAGACUUAGAAAAUUCAAAGAGAAAAAAAGAAUUCAUUUUGACUUAAAUGUCUUUUAUUUAGCUCUUCUCUUGAGCUGUGUUUUCUUACAACACAUUCCUCAUUCUGUCACAACCACAGUCACGAUGUUUUUCCAACAUCCCUGGAAGACACUCCCAGGCUCUGCUUCUGCCAGGCAUUUUUUUAUAAAAAAGAAAAAAAAAAAACAACCAACACAACAUUUCUAAUACUCAAUA